GACUCGUUAGCUCAGCGGUCAGAGCAACCCGUCUGAUUCAGUAGAGGUGGUCGGGGGUUCAAAUCCCUCACGAGUCG
This 77-nucleotide transfer RNA is filed under the name Bombyx mori (domestic silkworm). It matches the Rfam family "tRNA". From Rfam's summary of the family: Transfer RNA (tRNA) molecules are approximately 80 nucleotides in length. Their secondary structure includes four short double-helical elements and three loops (D, anti-codon, and T loops). Lineage: Eukaryota; Metazoa; Arthropoda; Insecta; Lepidoptera; Bombycidae. The record is from Rfam by way of RNAcentral.